CUAUUACUCCCUCCGUCCAACAAAAGAUGUCUCAAAUUUUGACAAAUUUGAAUGUAUCUAGACAUGACUUGGUAUACUGCAUUCAGAUUUAGUAAAAGUUGAGACACCCUUUGUUGGAUGGAGGGAGUGAUAA
This is a non-coding RNA of Brachypodium distachyon (stiff brome), 133 nucleotides long. The record is from Rfam. NCBI's taxonomy places the organism in Eukaryota, Viridiplantae, Streptophyta, Magnoliopsida, Poales, Poaceae.